GCUGGGUGUGGAGGCGCACGCCUGUAAUCCCAGUGGCACAGAAGGCUGAGGCAGGAGGAUAGUGAGUUCAAAGCCAGCCUCAGCAAAUAAGUGAGGCCCUAAGCAACUCAGUGAGACCCUGUCUCUA
This 127-nucleotide small RNA is filed under the name Marmota monax (woodchuck). Lineage: Eukaryota; Metazoa; Chordata; Mammalia; Rodentia; Sciuridae. The record is from RNAcentral.